This 445-nucleotide ribosomal RNA is filed under the name uncultured bacterium. RNAcentral's name for it is "partial 16S ribosomal RNA". It matches the Rfam family "Bacterial small subunit ribosomal RNA", at positions 29 to 522 of the family's 1533-position model. The record is from RNAcentral.
AACGAACGCUGGCGGCAUGCCUAACACAUGCAAGUCGAACGAUGGCUUCGGCCAUAGUGGCGCACGGGUGAGUAACACGUGGGAACCUGCCUUUCGGUUCGGAAUAACGUUUGGAAACGAACGCUAACACCGGAUACGCCCUUUGGGGGAAAGUUUACGCCGAAAGAGGGGCCCGCGUCCGAUUAGGUAGUUGGUGGGGUAAUGGCCCACCAAGCCGACGAUCGGUAGCUGGUCUGAGAGGAUGAUCAGCCACACUGGGACUGAGACACGGCCCAGACUCCUCGGGGAGGCAGCAGGGGGGAAUCUUGCGCAAGGGGCGAAAGCCUGCCGAGGCCAUCCCGCGUGAAUGAUGAAGGUCUAAGGAUUGUAAAAUCCUUCACCGGGGACGAUAAUGACGGUACCCGGAGAAGAAGCCCCGGCUAACUUCGCGCCAGCCGCCGCAUAA